This 75-nucleotide transfer RNA is filed under the name Candidatus Competibacteraceae bacterium. RNAcentral's name for it is "tRNA-Val". It matches the Rfam family "tRNA". Rfam says of the family: Transfer RNA (tRNA) molecules are approximately 80 nucleotides in length. Their secondary structure includes four short double-helical elements and three loops (D, anti-codon, and T loops). Lineage: Bacteria; Pseudomonadati; Pseudomonadota; Gammaproteobacteria; Candidatus Competibacteraceae. The record is from RNAcentral.
GGGCGGUUAGCUCAGCGGGAGAGCACUGCCUUCACACGGCAGGGGUCUCUGGUUCGAUCCCAGUACCGCCCACCA